UUUGAUCCUCGGCUCAGGAUGAACGCUAGCGAUAGGCUUAACACAUGCAAGUCGAGGGGUAACGUGUUGGAAGCUUGCUUCCGAUGACGACGACCGGCGGAUGGGUGCGUAACGCGUAUGCAACUUGCCUCACAGUGGAGAAUAACCCGGAGAAAUCCGGACUAAUGUUCCAUACACUCUUAAGUACGCCUGUACAUGAGAGGAAAGAUUUAUCGCUGUGAGAUAGGCAUGCGUCCUAUUAGGUAGUUGGUGAGGUAACGGCUCACCAAGCCGACGAUAGGUAGGGGUGCUGAGAGGCAGAUCCCCCACAUUGGGACUGAGACACGGCCCAAACUCCUACGGGAGGCAGCAGUGAGGAAUAUUGGUCAAUGGAGGAAACUCUGAACCAGCCAAGUCGCGUGAAGGAAGAAUGUCCUAAGGAUUGUAAACUUCUUUAGCGAGCGAGUAAGGACUUCCACGUGAUGGGAGUUUGAAAGUAGCUCGAGAAUAAGUAUCGGCUAACUCCGUGCCAGCNGCCGCGGUA
Molecule: ribosomal RNA, 523 nt
Filed under: Streptomyces sp. WAC 01420
Lineage: Bacteria; Bacillati; Actinomycetota; Actinomycetes; Kitasatosporales; Streptomycetaceae
Description: bacterial SSU rRNA
Rfam family: Bacterial small subunit ribosomal RNA
Source: RNAcentral